AAAAUGGAGAGUUUGAUCCUGGCUCAGGAUGAACGCUGGCGGUCUGCUUAACACAUGCAAGUCGAACGGAAGUAGCAAUACUUUAGUGGCGGACGGGUGAGUAACACGUAAGAACCUGCC
Molecule: ribosomal RNA, 120 nt
Filed under: Planktothrix mougeotii LEGE 06226
Lineage: Bacteria; Bacillati; Cyanobacteriota; Cyanophyceae; Oscillatoriales; Microcoleaceae
Description: partial 16S ribosomal RNA
Rfam family: Bacterial small subunit ribosomal RNA
Source: RNAcentral